RNAcentral lists this ribosomal RNA (347 nucleotides) under Trichomonas vaginalis G3. Its description in RNAcentral is "5.8S ribosomal RNA". The stretch from base 77 to 232 matches the Rfam family "5.8S ribosomal RNA". The record is from RNAcentral. Lineage: Eukaryota; Parabasalia; Trichomonadida; Trichomonadidae.
UUUUAUAACUAACACCAACUUCUUUUAUUAAACAAAAACCAAUACAAAAUUAAAAACUAACUUCAUCAAAAACCAAGUCUCUAAGCAAUGGAUGUCUUGGCUCCUCACACGAUGAAGAACGUGGCAUAAUGUGUUAAGUAACCGGAGUUGCAAACAUCAUGACAGGUUAAUCUUUGAAUGCAAAUUGCGCUAAACUCGAUCUCGGUCGAGAAGCAUGGGUGUGACAGUACUACAUCUUUUAUAAUAAUUCUUAUUCUAAGCGAAUAAGUAAAUAAUAUAUAAGACAAACAACACGUAGUCUGCCAUACGCAGGAAGACCCGCUGAACUGAAGCAUCUCAUUAAGCGG